RNAcentral lists this ribosomal RNA (429 nucleotides) under Gemmatimonadota bacterium. Its description in RNAcentral is "Gemmatimonadetes bacterium partial 16S ribosomal RNA". It matches the Rfam family "Bacterial small subunit ribosomal RNA", at positions 355 to 776 of the family's 1533-position model. The record is from RNAcentral. Lineage: Bacteria; Pseudomonadati; Gemmatimonadota.
UAGGGAAUCUUCGGCAAUGGACGAAAGUCUGACCGAGCAACGCCGCGUGAGUGAAGAAGGUUUUCGGAUCGUAAAACUCUGUUGUUAGAGAAGAACAAGGACGUUAGUAACUGAACGUCCCCUGACGGUAUCUAACCAGAAAGCCACGGCUAACUACGUGCCAGCAGCCGCGGUAAUACGUAGGUGGCAAGCGUUGUCCGGAUUUAUUGGGCGUAAAGCGAGCGCAGGCGGUUUCUUAAGUCUGAUGUGAAAGCCCCCGGCUCAACCGGGGAGGGUCAUUGGGAACUGGGGGACUUGAGUGCAGAAGAGGAGAGUGGAAUUCCAUGUGUAGCGGUGAAAUGCGUAGAUAUAUGGAGGAACACCAGUGGCGAAGGCGGCUCUCUGGUCUGUAACUGACGCUGAGGCUCGAAAGCGUGGGGAGCAAACAGG